This 1393-nucleotide long non-coding RNA is filed under the name Podarcis muralis (Common wall lizard). RNAcentral's name for it is "lncRNA (ENSPMRG00000000958.1)". The record is from RNAcentral. Lineage: Eukaryota; Metazoa; Chordata; Lepidosauria; Squamata; Lacertidae.
CCAUGAAGGGGCCAGGCAACCACAAAUUUCAGUGCCAGGACCAUGCACGCUGCAUGGCACCCAUGGCCCCGGGCACCCACAGUUGUGGGGCCAAGCUGGUACUCCCGAGCCCUAAUAUGGAAUCAUUUAGGUUUUAGAUCAGGGGUCUGCAACCUUUAAGACAAAAAGAGCCACUUGGACCCGUUUCCGAAGAAAAAAACAAACUGGGAGCCGCAAAACCGGGAAGGUGAAGUCGGGAUGGUGCGUGCCUAAUGCACGCACCGCCCCCAUGCGACGUCACAGCCAGUACAGCGCCCGCCACAGUGGGGAGUGUCGGGGCGCACAAUGCGCCUCCUCCCCUCACUAGUAUCCGCCCCGGAGCCGCAGCAAAGGUGUAAAAGAGCCACAUGCGGCUCCGGAGCCAUGGGUUGCAGACCCCUGUUUUAGAUGUUGCUUUGCUGUUUUUUAAGAUACGUGUUAUUUAUUGUUUUAAGUUGCUUUGAGUUACUUUGGUAUAAAACCCCCCACAAAACUACAGUAAUAAGUUUAAUCAAUAACAAUAUAAAGGGGUACAGGCUUUACUUCAGUGGCACACCACACAAUUUUCAUCCAAAAUGUCCCAGGGAUCUGCCUGUAGGGUAGGCAUUUUCCCUAAUUGCUUUAUUAUUUGGCACUCCCCAAGCUUUGUUUUUAAAUUCCUUCUCUGUUCUUCUUUCUUCCGGACAGGCUGAGGCAUCUGGUCCAUAUUUCUCCCCAGAGAUCCUGUUGACUUUUGCAGCAAGAUGGAAAGUGAUGCAACUUGGGUGCUGCAGGACAGAGUGAAUGACAAGAGAGAAGAAAUCAAAGCACAACGUCGAAGAAAAAGUGAGGAUUUGCUGAGGGAGACAGAAGCUGAGAGGAAGAACAUAAUCCGGGAGUGGGAAGAGCUGCGAAGGUUUGUCGAAGACCAAGAAAAACUCGUGUUGAGGAGGCUGCAAAAGCUGGACAAUGACAUUGUUAGAAGGAGAGAUGAGAGUGUUUUGGAAGGUUCUGAGCAAGCAACAUUUCACGAAAACAGAGAAAGCAACCAGCACCCACUUGUGAAGGUGGGGAAUCCCUGUCUUAUUUAUCAUCAUUACAUUUGUAUUCUGCCUUUCCUCGAAGUCAAGGUGGCGCACGUGGUUCUCCCCUCAUUUUAGCCUCCCAACAACCCUCUGACGUGGUUUAGGCUGAGAGAUGGCAACUGGCUUUAGGUCACCCAACAAGCUUCAUGGCCAAUUGGGGAUUGAGCCUUUGUCUCCCAGGCACCCUAACCACUAUGCCACACUGUGCCAAGGACAAGUCAAAAGUUUUAAACAGUGCAAUUCUUUAUGUGUCUUCUCAGAUGUAAGCACCAUUGAAUUCAAUGGGGCUUACACCCAAGUAAGUGAGCAUA